Sesamum indicum (sesame) is the source of this 641-nucleotide long non-coding RNA. RefSeq lists it as uncharacterized. The record is from RefSeq and is a predicted model, not a curated record. Lineage: Eukaryota; Viridiplantae; Streptophyta; Magnoliopsida; Lamiales; Pedaliaceae.
CUCGGAAUUGCCACCGGGGAUUGUGUCCCACAUCUCUUUCAUCUAAGAAUCUGCCUCAUAAUCCCCCAUUCUCCCUCAUCCGCCUCUCCUCAGUGUAAACUACUUCCCCUUUUCUUCCCCUUCCUCUUUUUCUCCGCACUUUUCCUCUUCUCCCCUUUCUCUUUUCCCCUUUCCGCUGUUUGAAUAGUCACCUCUAACCAAUUCCUCCAUAUCGUCUUCCCUGUAAACAUCACCUUCCUCAUCAUCUAAUCCAAAAUCCACACCACUGAGUCUUUAGCAGUUGAUUUUUCCAUCAGUUAUUUUCCACGCUCUGCCUUUGAGUCCUUGUACACUGGAGUUGGGAUCACUCGUGGUGUUCAUAAAGAGCAUCAUCUACGUUGCCAGGAGAUGUUGCUGAGACUCAUCACCAUCAGACUGGAUAUCCUCAUUGAAAUCCAUCAAUGGCUCACAGUCUUCAUAUCGAGGGGCGAAGAGGAACUUACAGAACGUCUUCGUAACCCAUGAUUGAUGCCCAAAAUCACUCUCUGAUGCAGCACAAGUGAGAACAAGCUGGGCGUAUCCGCGUUAAGGUAUGUGCGCAUUCCUUUGAAAUGUCUCAUCUUGUGAUUGUUGUACCCUUGAAUUGCUGGAAUAUGUGUAAA